This 585-nucleotide ribosomal RNA is filed under the name Papiliotrema laurentii. RNAcentral's name for it is "partial large subunit ribosomal RNA". It matches the Rfam family "Eukaryotic large subunit ribosomal RNA", at positions 74 to 648 of the family's 3401-position model. The record is from RNAcentral. Lineage: Eukaryota; Fungi; Basidiomycota; Tremellomycetes; Tremellales; Rhynchogastremaceae.
AUUCCCCUAGUAACGGCGAGUGAACCGGGAAGAGCUCAAAUUUGAAAUCUGGCGUCCUCAGGGCGUCCGAGUUGUAAUCUAUAGAGGCGUUUUCCGUGCCGGACCGUGUCCAAGUUCCUUGGAACAGGAUAUCAAAGAGGGUGACAAUCCCGUACUUGACACGACGACCGGUGCUCUGUGAUACGUCUUCUACGAGUCGAGUUGUUUGGGAAUGCAGCUCAAAAUGGGUGGUGAGUUCCAUCUAAAGCUAAAUAUUGGCGAGAGACCGAUAGCGAACAAGUACCGUGAGGGAAAGAUGAAAAGCACUUUGGAAAGAGAGUUAAACAGUACGUGAAAUUGUUGAAAGGGAAACGAUUGAAGUCAGUCGUGACCGAGAGGCUCAGCCGGUUCUGCCGGUGUAUUCCCCUCGGUCGGGUCAACAUCAGUUUUGUCCGGUGGAUAAGGGCGGUAGGAAGGUGGCACCCUCGGGUGUGUUAUAGCCUGCCGUCGCAUACAUCGGGUGAGACUGAGGAACGCAGCUCGCCUUUAUGGCCGGGGUUCGCCCACGUCCGAGCUUAGGAUGUUGACAUAAUGGCUUUAAACGAC